UACGGAGGGUGCGAGCGUUGUCCGGAAUCACUGGGCGUAAAGGGCGCGUAGGCGGCUUUUUAAGUGUGCGGUGAAAGCCCGGGGCUUAACCCCGGGUCGGCCGUGCCGACUGAAAAGCUGGAGCACUGUAGAGGCAGGUGGAAUUCCGGGUGUAGCGGUGGAAUGCGUAGAGAUCGGAAAGAACACCAACGGCGAAAGCACUCUGCUGGGCCGACACUGACACUGAGAGACGAAAGCUAGGGGAGCGAAUGGG
Molecule: ribosomal RNA, 253 nt
Filed under: uncultured bacterium
Lineage: Bacteria
Description: partial 16S ribosomal RNA
Rfam family: Bacterial small subunit ribosomal RNA
Source: RNAcentral